This 549-nucleotide ribosomal RNA is filed under the name uncultured bacterium. RNAcentral describes it as "bacterial SSU rRNA". It matches the Rfam family "Bacterial small subunit ribosomal RNA", at positions 355 to 896 of the family's 1533-position model. The record is from RNAcentral.
UGGGGAAUAUUGGACAAUGGGCGAAAGCCUGAUCCAGCCAUGCCGCGUGUGUGAAGAAGGCCUUUUGGUUGUAAAGCACUUUAAGUGGGGAGGAAAAGCUUAUGGUUAAUACCCAUAAGCCCUGACGUUACCCACAGAAUAAGCACCGGCUAACUCUGUGCCAGCAGCCGCGGUAAUACAGAGGGUGCAAGCGUUAAUCGGAAUUACUGGGCGUAAAGCGCGCGUAGGUGGUUAUUUAAGUCAGAUGUGAAAGCCCCGGGCUUAACCUGGGAACUGCAUCUGAUACUGGAUAACUAGAGUAGGUGAGAGGGGAGUAGAAUUCCAGGUGUAGCGGUGAAAUGCGUAGAGAUCUGGAGGAAUACCGAUGACGAAGGCAGCUCCCUGGCAUCAUACUGACACUGAGGUGCGAAAGCGUGGGUAGCAAACAGGAUUAGAUACCCUGGUAGUCCACGCCGUAAACGAUGUCCACCAGUCGUUGGGUCUUUUAAAGACUUAGUGACGCAGUUAACGCAAUAAGUAGACCGCCUGGGGAGUACGGCCGCAAGGUUA